Molecule: ribosomal RNA, 253 nt
Filed under: uncultured bacterium
Lineage: Bacteria
Description: partial 16S ribosomal RNA
Rfam family: Bacterial small subunit ribosomal RNA
Source: RNAcentral
UACGGAGGGUGCAAGCGUUAUCCGGAUUCACUGGGUUUAAAGGGUGCGUAGGCGGGGAUGUAAGUCAGUGGUGAAAUCCCCGAGCUUAACUCGGGAACUGCCAUUGAUACUAUAUAUCUUGAAUACUGUGGAGGUUAGCGGAAUAUGUCAUGUAGCGGUGAAAUGCUUAGAUAUGACAUAGAACACCAAUUGCGAAGGCAGCUGGCUACACAAAUAUUGACACUGAUGCACGAAAGCGUGGGGAUCAAACAGG